UGAAUCACAAGCCUUUAAUGGCGGAUUUGAAACCUAUUUUCACUGUUAUACGAAUUUGGGACUGAUAUUUUGUCUUUGAAAGGAAUUAUGGGCUGGAGGGGCUGAUUUGGGGAAGAUUCUCGAGCAGGUGUAGCAGCUAUGCUGCGGUGGCUAUGGCUGCUAAGCCAUUCUCAUUUGGUGAGGGUGGAAAGGAGGAAGAAGAAGAGAGAUAAAGGAAAGAUAGAGGUUUG
This 230-nucleotide long non-coding RNA is filed under the name Capsicum annuum. RNAcentral's name for it is "long non-coding RNA (CANN_LNC018730)". Lineage: Eukaryota; Viridiplantae; Streptophyta; Magnoliopsida; Solanales; Solanaceae. The record is from RNAcentral.